Molecule: microRNA precursor, 59 nt
Filed under: Echinops telfairi (small Madagascar hedgehog)
Lineage: Eukaryota; Metazoa; Chordata; Mammalia; Afrosoricida; Tenrecidae
Description: Ete-Mir-876_pre stem-loop
Source: RNAcentral
GAUUUCUUUGUGAAUCACCAUAUCUAAGCUAAUGUGGUGGUGGUUUUCAAAGUAAUUCA